This 468-nucleotide ribosomal RNA is filed under the name uncultured bacterium. RNAcentral describes it as "partial 16S ribosomal RNA". It matches the Rfam family "Bacterial small subunit ribosomal RNA", at positions 28 to 507 of the family's 1533-position model. The record is from RNAcentral.
GACGAACGCUGGCGGCGUGCCUAACACAUGCAAGUCGAACGGAAAGGUCAUGCGUUUGUGGGGUGCUCGAGUGGCGAACGGGUGAGUAACACGCGAGUAUACUGCCCUUGACUUUGGGAUAACUUCAGGAAAAAGGGGCUAAUACCGGAUAGAAGAUACUGCUGCAUGGGGGGGGUUGGAGAGUUUCGGCGGUUGGGGCUGGACUAGCGGGUUAUCAGCUAGUUGGUGGGGUAGUGGAGUACCAAGGCUAUGAAGGGUAGCCGACCUUGGAGCGGAGCCGGCGACAUGGGUCCUGCGAGACGCAGCAGACGCCUACGGGCGGCAGUGGUGGAGAGUCUUGCACAGCGGGCGGACGCGUGUGACGACAGCGCCCGGUGCGGAAUACCCUGUUACGGGUUGUAAACCGCUUUGGCCGGUGCCGAAGCGUGAUUGACGGUAACGGGUAAAGAAGCACCGGCUAACUACGUG